CAGAAAGAUUGCCCACCCAGCUUCUUGUGCAACUGCCCCUAUUAUGCAGGAGACAUGUGAUCAACUCCAGGACUCCCUUUCUCUUCCCCUCAUACCUGCUUCAGUAGGAGCCAUCAGGGCUUUAUGGGGUGCGGCUGAUACCCUCCAUUCAGGGUCCAUGUCCGAAUUUUGGAACAAAGGCAUAUAUAUCAUCAUGCCCAGUAAAUACAAAAUGCAAAGCUGAGCUAGAAAAGGAGAAAGGGACUCUCCAGAUAGUAGACUAAGAAGACAAUGAAGAAGUGAGCAGGGCUGGAGCCCUGUGGCCACGUGGGAGGUCACUGUCUCUGCCACAAGACUGCAACAACCAGUUGCUUCCUACAGUACAGAUGUGGCAUUUGUCAUAAAGCUGGAAGCCAGAAGACUUGAUUUCUCAUUCCUUCCUUCCUUUUUAGGAAGGGCCUCUUGGAGCCCAAUCUAGUCUUGGACUUACCUACCUAGUUGAGGAUGGCCUUGAACUCCUGAUGCUCCUCCUAUCUCCCUAGUACUGCAGGCGGUCCUGGUUUACAUGGUGCUGGGGAUUAUAUCCAGAGCCUUGUGAAUGCCAGGCAGGCACUCUAUGGACUGAGCUACAUCUGCAGCUCAUAAAGAUGACUCAUAAGUGAAUCUUCUCAAACAGAAGAGAAAAUCUUGGGUCAAUUGUGGUCAGUAGCCAGCCCCACAGAGGACUUUGCCAGGACUGAGCACCGUGAGGGAACUUUCACUGUUACAGUCCUUGUAACAAACCCAUGAGGUAGGCACUUUGCUCAACACCCUAUUUUUAGAUGGAGACAAGCAGAGGGGCUAAGAAACUUGCUCACAAGACACACAGGUAGCAAAUAAUGGAAGUUGGACUCAAAUCCAAAUGCUCUGGUUCCAGAGCUUGCACUCAAUGACAUAGAAACAGUUGAAUGGAGCCGAUUCCACCAAGGAAAGAACACGAAGUUGUUCUCAGACCUCCCCAUGUGUGCUGUGGUAAGCAACCCC
Molecule: long non-coding RNA, 1002 nt
Organism: Mesocricetus auratus (golden hamster)
Lineage: Eukaryota; Metazoa; Chordata; Mammalia; Rodentia; Cricetidae
Exons: 3
Source: RefSeq, a predicted model, not a curated record